GCCUUGAUGGUGAAAUAAUGGUAGACACGCGAGACUCAAAAUCUCGUGCUAUAGCGCGUGGAGGUUCGAAUCCUCUUCAAGGCA
Molecule: transfer RNA, 84 nt
Filed under: Phyllocladus trichomanoides (celery pine)
Lineage: Eukaryota; Viridiplantae; Streptophyta; Pinopsida; Araucariales; Podocarpaceae
Also listed under: 1 other name
Description: tRNA-Leu
Rfam family: tRNA
About the family: Transfer RNA (tRNA) molecules are approximately 80 nucleotides in length. Their secondary structure includes four short double-helical elements and three loops (D, anti-codon, and T loops). Further hydrogen bonds mediate the characteristic L-shaped molecular structure. tRNAs have two regions of fundamental functional importance: the anti-codon, which is responsible for specific mRNA codon recognition, and the 3' end, to which the tRNAs corresponding amino acid is attached (by aminoacyl-tRNA synthetases). tRNAs cope with the degeneracy of the genetic code in two manners: having more than one tRNA (with a specific anti-codon) for a particular amino acid; and 'wobble' base-pairing, i.e. permitting non-standard base-pairing at the 3rd anti-codon position.
Source: RNAcentral